Molecule: non-coding RNA, 323 nt
Organism: Pelobates cultripes (western spadefoot toad)
Lineage: Eukaryota; Metazoa; Chordata; Amphibia; Anura; Pelobatidae
Source: the annotation of a GenBank genome assembly
GUAAUGGAUAAUGUCAGAGAUAAAAGUUGGUUGUGGUGUGCCGAAACCAACGUCCGAGUGGGCCUGUAAAUAAAAGAGGGCAAAGAGAAAUUCGAAAAAAACACACUUUAUUGCAUUUUGAUUACAUGACUAAAUUCCUGAAGGCUUGGCGAAGUUCUCUUUCUGGCCGUGGAAUAUACGUAUUGUAUAUAGAGGACUUCCAGCGGCCCAGUCUCUUUAUGAUGUGGACCGGUGUGUUAGUGCUAGAAGCUGAUGAAGCGGCCCCUAUGCGAAAGGAAUGCCCGGAGAAUGAAGUUGGGUUGUAACCCAAUUUUCCCAGUAAG